RNAcentral lists this ribosomal RNA (255 nucleotides) under uncultured bacterium. Its description in RNAcentral is "partial 16S ribosomal RNA". It matches the Rfam family "Bacterial small subunit ribosomal RNA", at positions 524 to 776 of the family's 1533-position model. The record is from RNAcentral.
UACAGAGGGCGCGGGUGUUAUUCGUUUUGAUUGGGCGUAUAGGGUAAGUAGGUGGCCGACGGUGCUUAACCAAAAAACGCAGAGUGUUCCUAUGCGCGCUGUUUUCGACUUCAAGUCGGCUAGUGUUGUAGAGAGGUUGGGGUAAAUCUGCAUGUAGGGGUCAAAUCCAACCAUAUGUGGAUGAACGUCAGUUGGCGAAGGCGCCUUUCCUGCUAUAACAGACGCUCAAUUACGGAAGCUUGGGGAGCAAACGAG